Molecule: long non-coding RNA, 1266 nt
Filed under: Carassius auratus (goldfish)
Lineage: Eukaryota; Metazoa; Chordata; Actinopteri; Cypriniformes; Cyprinidae
Description: lncRNA (ENSCARG00000028725.1)
Source: RNAcentral
AUGUGUAAGUUGCAUGAAAAUCUUAGCUUUGUGGCUGAGAAGCUCAAUCAGCUGAAACUUAUUGAGACUAACAAUCUUGAAAACUUGGUCGAGAAGGUGUGCUGCAACUCAUCCAACAAGAGCUGUAUGUAUGGAGAGUGUGUACACUGCAAGGACAAGAGUGUCCCAAUUUCUAGUACAUAUAGCAGUAUGACCAAAGUAUCUUUCACCCAGUGGGUAACAGAAGAUAAAGAGAUGGAUAAAAAGAAAGAGGGAGAAGAGAGGUCAACUGUCAAGGUCACCAUCAAAAAAUCUGUGGAGGGCACACAGGAGAACCCCACUGAGCUGUUCCACACCUACAUACAGCGGUUCAAACAGCAUCACUUUAACAUUAAGCAGCAGUAUGCCUUCUCCCGUGAGCUGAAGAGGAACAUGUCAGGGGAAGAGGCCUUGAUACAUAUUGACUUUUCUGAAAAUUACAGCUGCAAAUACAGCUCCCAGGUCCAAGCAGUCCACUUUGGGGCUACACACCAGCAGGCCACUCUGCAUACAGGGGUGUUGUAUGUUGGUGGAAAACCAGAGCCUGUGUGCUUCAGCACCAUCUCCCCCUGCAGACAUAAAGGCCCUCCAGCAAUAUGGCAACACCUCAAUCCAGUGCUGGAUUACCUCCAGGCCACACAUACACAAGUGUCUGUGCUGCACUUUUUUAGCGAUGGCCCCUGUACUCAGUACAAACAACCAGGAAACUUCUUCCUUUUUAGCACAGAAUUAAACAGAAGAGGAUUCAAGGCUGCCUCUUGGAAUUUUUUUGAGGCUAGUCAUGGCAAAGGAGCCCCAGAUGGUGUAGGGGGAGCCUUAAAAAGAACAGCUGACAUGAUGGUGGCAAAGGGGCGUGAUAUCCCGAAUGCACACGAGCUGUUCAAGGCCUUGACUGAGACAAACACAACAGUGAAACUGUUCUUUGUAAAGAAUGAGGAUGUUGAGAGUGCAAUGGAGAAAAUGCCAAAGCAAAUACCCGCAGUCCCGGGAACCAUGAGAAUCCACCAGGUGAUUACUCUGGCUCCAGGAGAACUGAUACACCGUGAUGUCAGCUGCAUGUGCACAACACGCAAGCAGUUUAACUGCAAGUGCUUCAACACACAGUGUUUCAGUUUUGGCCAGGAGAUACCAACUGCUGUGCCUGUCCCGCAGCCAGCCAGUGAAGGGAAUCCACAGACACGGGAAGAAAAGGAAAUCCAGUGGGGAAUGUCCAGAGCUGCUUGGGCAGUGGUGCAUACUCAGAUAUGA